GCACUAUUAAGUGCACAGCUGCCUGUCAUCAUGCAUUAUCAUGCAUUCUGUGCAUAGAAAUAGGAAAUAUCAGCAUUCGGCUGCUUUGGUGGCCUAGUAUGUGCUCUUUAUAUGGGAGAGAUAAAAAAGGAAAAAAGAAAUUGCAUUAUUUUGCAGCAAUAAAGCUUACUCUGCAAUUCAUAUAAUGUAGAAGAAAUCUCAUUUAUCAAUGUCUGUGAAGAAGCCUAGCCUGAUGGACUCAUCCUUUCAUGAUUUCAGCUCUUGCAGAUCAUGAUUCUACACCUGGGUAAAUAACUUCAAAUGGAUUAAAGUGAUGCCUGCAAAUGAUCUUUGGAACAAAGGAUCCAAAAUUUCCAGCAACCUCGGGAUUUCUCCAAAUCCAAGAGAUUUCCAAUAAAACAUGAAAGUCAAGUCACAAGAUAAAA
This is a long non-coding RNA of Nothoprocta perdicaria, 425 nucleotides long. RefSeq lists it as uncharacterized. The record is from RefSeq and is a predicted model, not a curated record. NCBI's taxonomy places the organism in Eukaryota, Metazoa, Chordata, Aves, Tinamiformes, Tinamidae. The transcript has 2 exons.